RNAcentral lists this ribosomal RNA (236 nucleotides) under uncultured bacterium. Its description in RNAcentral is "partial 16S ribosomal RNA". It matches the Rfam family "Bacterial small subunit ribosomal RNA", at positions 116 to 353 of the family's 1533-position model. The record is from RNAcentral.
UCUGGGAAACUGCCUGAUGGAGGGGGAUAACUACUGGAAACGGUAGCUAAUACCGCAUAACGUCGCAAGACCAAAGAGGGGGACCUUCGGGCCUCUUGCCAUCAGAUGUGCCCAGAUGGGAUUAGCUAGUAGGUGGGGUAACGGCUCACCUAGGCGACGAUCCCUAGCUGGUCUGAGAGGAUGACCAGCCACACUGGAACUGAGACACGGUCCAGACUCCUACGGGAGGCAGCAUG